Phyllostomus discolor (pale spear-nosed bat) is the source of this 164-nucleotide small nuclear RNA. RefSeq annotates it as U1 spliceosomal RNA. NCBI's taxonomy places the organism in Eukaryota, Metazoa, Chordata, Mammalia, Chiroptera, Phyllostomidae. The transcript has a single exon. The record is from RefSeq and is a predicted model, not a curated record.
AGACUUACCUGGCAUGGGAGAUACCAAGAUCAUGAAGGUGGUUUUCCCAGGAUAAGGCUCACUCAUUGCACUCCAAGGGUGCUGACUCCUGUGAUUUCCCCAAAUGCUGGACACUAAACUGCAUAAUUUGUGAAAAUAAGGGACUGCAUUCAUGCUCUCCUCUG